RNAcentral lists this ribosomal RNA (465 nucleotides) under Vreelandella stevensii. RNAcentral describes it as "partial 16S ribosomal RNA". It matches the Rfam family "Bacterial small subunit ribosomal RNA", at positions 338 to 795 of the family's 1533-position model. Lineage: Bacteria; Pseudomonadati; Pseudomonadota; Gammaproteobacteria; Oceanospirillales; Halomonadaceae. The record is from RNAcentral.
CCUACGUGUGGCUGCAGUGGGGAAUAUUGGACAAUGGGCGAAAGCCUGAUCCAGCCAUGCCGCGUGUGUGAAGAAGGCCUUCGGGUUGUAAAGCACUUUCAGUGGGGAAGAAAGCCUUGGGGCUAAUACCCUCGAGGAAGGACAUCACCCACAGAAGAAGCACCGGCUAACUCCGUGCCAGCAGCCGCGGUAAUACGGAGGGUGCGAGCGUUAAUCGGAAUUACUGGGCGUAAAGCGCGCGUAGGCGGUCUGAUAAGCCGGUUGUGAAAGCCCCGGGCUCAACCUGGGAACGGCAUCCGGAACUGUCAGGCUAGAGUGCAGGAGAGGAAGGUAGAAUUCCCGGUGUAGCGGUGAAAUGCGUAGAGAUCGGGAGGAAUACCAGUGGCGAAGGCAGCCUUCUGGACUGACACUGACGCUGAGGUGUGAAAGCGUGGGUAGCAAACAGGAUUAGAUACCCUUGUAGUC